CCCGAUCAUGCAGUGUAGACUUUGGCACACCAAACAGUUCACUUGCAUGACGAACGAACAUACCUUCCUCCUCCACUGCCUUCAAUGCUUUAAUCAUGCUUACAUCUUCCCACUGACAAUAAUAUUGGGGCCUUUCGAUAACAAGCUUGGAAGGGUCAGCCUCUACUAACGAAUUAGAUACCAGUAUUCUUCCUGAUAGAGGUUUUUUUGACAUGUCAACAAACUUCACCUAAAUCAAAACAGAUCUAUGCUUGAUAAAUGAAGUGUAAUACUUGCCUUAUCGAGUGAAACCGAGAGUGAAACACAGUAAUAACAGCUUAUCAACCUCGUUAUCAAGAUUAAAACAACUGAGGUGAGACUCAUGAGACCUGACACAGCAAACAACACGAGGCAGCAGUGUAUUGGGUGGAGCAUAAGUGGACGACAAUUAGAGUAAAGGGUUAAUUAUCGGCCACGCCCAUCAAUCGGACACUCUUGUUUCACUGUGCUAAAACUUUCUGCUUAUCUUCUUUUAUCAGCUGGUGCUUCUUAUCAUGAGGUGCUUGUAAGUGAAAAUUCUCGGACGGUCCUCACUUCGGACAUGAGAGUGAAUCCGCGGACGGUGGCUCUCCUGUUAAGAGGGAAGAGAGAAUGGUGCUCUUGCUAUUAUCAAUGGUUACACCAAUGAAUGGGGUUUACCAAAAGCAGACAACUUUGAAUCUAUUCUGCACUGAUUGCGGGAAAUCGUCACUCCACCACGGGUCCUAUGGGAGCCAUAUUUCAGACACCCAAUGUUCGGACGAGUAUUUUUAAAAAUGUAUUUUGUAUUGUUUUAUUCAGUCAAUUCUGCUGUUUAUCCUUGUUAAUUGUUACUAGCCAUAUCCUAUUAUUAUUAUUAUCAAUAAUUCAAAGACCAUGCUGGAUCUUCGGAUGAACUAUUAACAUUCUAAAAAAUUCAUUCAGUUUUAUCAUUCACAAAA
Molecule: long non-coding RNA, 959 nt
Organism: Amphimedon queenslandica
Lineage: Eukaryota; Metazoa; Porifera; Demospongiae; Haplosclerida; Niphatidae
Exons: 2
Source: RefSeq, a predicted model, not a curated record